GACGAACGCUGGCGGCGUGCUUAACACAUGCAAGUCGAACGGAGAGGCCCUGCUUUUGUGGGGUGCUCGAGCGGCGAACGGGUGAGUAACACGUGAGUAACCUGCCCUUGACUUUGGGAUAACUUCAGGAAACUGGGGCUAAUACCGGAUAGGAGCUCCUGCUGCAUGGUGGGGGUUGGAAAGUUUCGGCGGUUGGGGAUGGACUCGCGGCUUAUCAGCUUGUUGGUGGGGUAGUGGCUUACCAAGGCUUUGACGGGUAGCCGGCCUGAGAGGGUGACCGGCCACAUUGGGACUGAGAUACGGCCCAGACUCCUACGGGAGGCAGCAGUGGGGAAUAUUGCACAAUGGGCGGAAGCCUGAUGCAGCAACGCCGCGUGCGGGAUGACGGCCUUCGGGUUGUAAACCGCUUUCGCCUGUGACGAAGCGUGAGUGACGGUAAUGGGUAAAGAAGCACCGGCUAACUACGUG
This 468-nucleotide ribosomal RNA is filed under the name uncultured bacterium. Its description in RNAcentral is "partial 16S ribosomal RNA". It matches the Rfam family "Bacterial small subunit ribosomal RNA", at positions 28 to 507 of the family's 1533-position model. The record is from RNAcentral.